This 496-nucleotide ribosomal RNA is filed under the name uncultured bacterium. RNAcentral describes it as "partial 16S ribosomal RNA". It matches the Rfam family "Bacterial small subunit ribosomal RNA", at positions 28 to 507 of the family's 1533-position model. The record is from RNAcentral.
GAUGAACGCUGGCGGCGUGCCUAAUACAUGCAAGUCGAGCGAACGGACGAGAAGCUUGCUUCUCUGAUGUUAGCGGCGGACGGGUGAGUAACACGUGGAUAACCUACCUAUAAGACUGGGAUAACUUCGGGAAACCGGAGCUAAUACCGGAUAAUAUUUUGAACCGCAUGGUUCAAAAGUGAAAGACGGUCUUGCUGUCACUUAUAGAUGGAUCCGCGCUGCAUUAGCUAGUUGGUAAGGUAACGGCUUACCAAGGCAACGAUGCAUAGCCGACCUGAGAGGGGGAUCGGCCCCACUGGAACUGAGAAACGGUCCAGACUCCUACGGAGGCAGCAGUAGGGAAUCUUCCGCAAUGGGCGAAAGCCUGACGGAGCAACGCCGCGUGAGUGAUGAAGGUCUUCGGAUCGUAAAACUCUGUUAUUAGGGAAGAACAUAUGUGUAAGUAACUGUGCACAUCUUGACGGUACCUAAUCAGAAAGCCACGGCUAACUACGUG